UUUAACCUAGUUUAAUUAAAAUAAAGGCUUGUCAAGCCUUAGAUGCGCUGGAAUUGUGCGGUUGAAA
Non-coding RNA from Aplysia californica (California sea hare), 67 nucleotides. Lineage: Eukaryota; Metazoa; Mollusca; Gastropoda; Aplysiida; Aplysiidae. The record is from the annotation of a RefSeq genome assembly.